UAUACUUCUUAAUGCAUGAGUCAUUUUUUAAGGCUGAUACGGUAAUUUCACAUGCUCUUGGAUCAACCCAUUAAGCUCUGGAUCGACCCAACAUCUUCCUCAUUCAAAUUAACAUUAUGAAAAGAUAUUUCGGAUCUUUAUGUGACCCGAACCAAAUUAGAUUGGAUCUACAACAUCUUCCAAUCAUAUCAAAAUUUGAAAAUAGCAUUGAAUGCAGUUCCUUCAAUCAUGCCACUCCAUUACGCUUAAUUAUCUCAAUCAAUCAUGACAGUUAAUCAGAACAAAUCCAUACUUAAUUAUCUCAAUCAAUCUCUUCCACCUCCAUUACGCUCUAUGCUGUUUUUUAUUUGAGAUUCUUAUAAUCCGUUUGCAUCUGUAAUCAUUUGAUCGUUUUUUUUCUCUCUCGAUUUGCAUAGUGUUUGGUAGUAACAUCUGUUUUAUAUUGCAGUGAUAACGGUGGUCGUGUUUUUUUAGCAUGGAGACAGAUUCAACGUCGUCAACAGGUUUUGCAAUCCUUUUUAUGGUACGUUAUGUUGCAGCAUCGAAAUCCUCGAUUAUAAUCGUAAAAUUUUAUUUCUGCAGGUGCCAAAAGAAAAGGACGUGGUCCAAGUGUUGAGACAAUUUCCAAGAAUCAAAAGAAAACACAUGCACCAGGUGUUUUCAUGUGGGGCGCUCAUUUGAUUCACAUGAUAAUGGAUUAAGGUAGCCACUGACUGAAAGUUUGGAAAGCUGGAGAGGCUUUUAUGAAAGUAUACGACCUACACAUAUGGGAUUGUCGCUUAGCAUUGGUCUGCUGAAUAGAGAUGAUUCGUCCCGGCCACCAUCGGAUGCUCAUCGUGUGAAGAUUUGUAUUCACUUUUCCUCAACAUCUGCUUUAUUGACAAGAGACACCGAGAAUGAAUAUGAUGCAAUUUCCGUCCAGAUACAUGGAUCUAACCUCCUACAACUCAUAUGUAAAUAGAGAAAUAUAGUCAAAAUAUAUUUGGUUUUCAAUGAUUUUGGCAUUUAUUAUUACAAUCUUUUUUUGUAUAAUAUGUAGUGGUUUCCAUUUUCACUAUAUUCAAUUUUCAA
This is a long non-coding RNA of Daucus carota subsp. sativus, 1071 nucleotides long. RefSeq lists it as uncharacterized. Lineage: Eukaryota; Viridiplantae; Streptophyta; Magnoliopsida; Apiales; Apiaceae. The transcript has 3 exons. The record is from RefSeq and is a predicted model, not a curated record.